Molecule: long non-coding RNA, 13281 nt
Filed under: Citrus maxima (pomelo)
Lineage: Eukaryota; Viridiplantae; Streptophyta; Magnoliopsida; Sapindales; Rutaceae
Description: long non-coding RNA (CMAX_LNC000286)
Source: RNAcentral
ACUAGAAAAAAGUGGCACAUCCUUAUUCUUUCUAUUAUAAUCGUGCUCUACGAUCACCAAUAGAUUACAUAUUUGAAAAGCCAAUAGUAACAUAAGUCAAUACAUUCUUCAAUGAAAUAAAACCAUAGUCUGCGCCAAUAUGGGUUUACCCAAAGGAUCGCGAGUAACCCCAACAUCACUGUGACACAGGACGCAACAAAACUCCAAUAGAAUGCCACCAUAUCAACCGCACAUUCAUCUUCUGCUCCUUUGGAUGAUGGUUCUAGCAACUCUGGGAGAUUCGUGCAGCUCUUGUUAAUUGCUGGACCGCAAAGAUGGAGAUUUCCUCUAUAGCUGCUUUCAUCAAAUGUGGAAAAUUGCUCUUUGUCUGGGAUUGGGCCGGACAAAUUGUUGUAUGACACAUCGAAUUUAGAUAAACUGUGAAGUUCGGUCAAUUGAGGAGGAAUUUGACCAUUUAAUUUGUUGUGGGAAAGGUCUAGACUCUCUAUCAUUUUCAGAUUGGAAAAGCUCUCAGGUAUAGAGCCCGACAAGAAAUUAUGAGAUAAAUUCAAUCCAUGAAUAUUUUGAAGGUCACCAAUUUCUGAUGGAAUGUCACCUGUUAACUCGUUGUUCGACAAAUCUAGUCCUGCCAUUAACUCAAGAAUGUCACCCUUGUAAGAUUCAUAUCUGUUCUUUGUCAUAAAAUUCACCUCUACUAGUGCACCUAACAUUCUCUCAUCGUUUCCAUCCAGCAACAGUUCAACAGUAGAAUUAUAGUAAUUACUGACGUAUGCAUCGUCUAAAUACAUAGACAAUACGAAAUCAAACCCAUACAAAUAUCCAUUUUCUACCCUCGAAAACAACAUAUUAGUAAUGCAUGCAGGUAUUGAACCAUUAAGCCUGUUGUGUGAGAUAUCCAUGAUGCCUAAUUUUCGCAAAUGACACAAUUGAUGAGGAAUAGGUCCUUGUAGAUAAUUCCCUCUCAAAAGAAGAGUACGCAAAUUUGAAUGCUCAUUGAUCUGAUGUGGAAUUCUACCAAAAAAAUAAUUAUCCCUUAAAUCUAAAGUCUCCAAUGCAGAGCCUCUGAAAAAUGUAUUUGGAAUUGACCCACCAAGAGCAUUAUUUUGCAAAUAAAGGUGCUCCACUGAUGAAAGAUUCAGGGUAGAUAUCAUGGAUCCGGACAAAUUAUUUUCGGAGAUAUUCAGAAUUUGAAGACUUGCAAGAUUGUUGAAUUGGACUGGAAUAUUACCUUCCAAAAGAUUUUUGGACAUUGACAGAAUUUGAAGAGUUGAGAAAUUGCCCAUCCAAGAAGGAAUAUGACCAGACAAGCGGUUGUUGGAUAUAUCUAAGACCAUUAAUUCAGUGGACCUUAACCAUCCAUCUUUAAUCUUCCCACUGAAAUUAUUGUUGUACAAAUAUAACGCCCAUAAUCGAGUCAAGUUCAUGUAAUUGGGAAAAAUCUGCCCGACGAAAUUAUUAUUUGACAAGUCCAACCAUUCUAGCGAGAAGCAAUUAAUAACUAGAGAUUGGGAUAAUUCUCCUGCAAAAUUGUUACUAGACACGUCCAGUAAACGAAGCCCUUGCAUCUUGCCAAUAGAAGAGGGAAUAUUGCCUUCAAAACUAUUUUUCGAUAUAUUCAUAUAGACCAAUUUAGGAAGGACAAUACCCAUAUUCUGCGGGAGCUUACCACUGAAACUGUUUCUAGAAAUAUCUAAACUAUGCAAACCAUGUUGGGCACUGGUCAGUUGAAACCUUGAGAAUGAGUUGUUAAUCAAGUACAAAACUUCCAAUUUUGUGUUGUUUCCCAACAACCAAGUUGGGAAAUUGCCAACCAACUUAUUGUGAGAGAGAUCAAGGUAUUUUAAGUUAAAUUGGUGUAGAAGAAAUUUUGGAAUGACACCUAAGUUGCAGUUGGUUAAACUGAGGACUUUCAGUUGAAACGUAGGGAGGCAGUUUUCUGUUUCGACUUGUAACAAAUCGGAUUCCAUCGAUAGUUGGAAGACCUCAAGUUUCGAGAGGUUGGCUAAUGAACAGAAUGAAAACAAGCGCCCUUUAAAUUUGUUGUCAGACAGAGCCAAAUAUUCAAGGGAUGUGAGGUUUGCAAUUACUGAAGGUAAGAUUCCACUUAACUGAUUGGAAGAAAUAUCAAGAACUUUGAGGUGGGUGAGGUUGUUUAGACACCGAAGAAGAUGACCUUCAAAGUUAUUUCCUCUAAGAUUCAGUUCAAAAAGAUUCUUCAACUCACAUAUUCCUGAGAAGUAAAAAAUAAAAGGGUCAAAAUUUAUAAAAAGAUUCAAAUUCUAAAUUGGUGACAUUUGUAGUUUUGUACAUUUAACAUUUUCAUCUUUCAUAAAAUUACUUUUACCUUUUAGUUGGUGGUUCCUUGUUAAUUUUUAAUAUUAUGUUUCUUCUAUAGUUUAAGCUGUUAUGGAAAAAAAAAUUAUCCAAAGGCAAAAUUGACAUUUUAAUAUAAAAAUUGUUUAGGUUUAGUUUGCACAUACAUGUUGGAUAAUCAAUUUGUAUUAAAGUAAAUGGUCACAUUGCUCCUUCAGUUAGCCUCUUUUUGUUAUUGUUUUAAACUUCGAUAGCGUGAGGGAAGUUUACUAAUUAGAAAGAAGAUGACCCUCAACAUUAUUUCCUUGAAGAUUCAACUCAAAAAGAUUCUUCAACUCACAUACUCCUGAAAGAAAAAAUAAAAAGUUCAAAAUUCAUAGAAGGAAUGACUUUCUGGUUUUCUAAUUGUAGUGAAUUUAGUCCAAACCCGUAUGAUUUAUCAAAAAAUAAAUAAAAUCAAAACCCUGUAAAAUUAUUCCUAGAAAUCAAUUUGUAUUAUUCUCGUAGAUAAUGAUGUUUAUUUCUAAAGCAUUUCAAAUAAGAGUGGAACUAUUGGCACCAUUUCUAAAUAGCUCUUGACACUCAUUUCUUUAUUAACCCCAUUAAAAUAUUUAAAAUUAUUAUAAAAUUCUUUUAACUCCACCUUCAAUGAUAAAAAUACCCUUAUUAAAACUUAUUAGUGUAAACCCCAUUCUCUAGUUUUUAUUUAUUUUUAUUAUUAAACCCGUUUCUUCCAUUCAAAAGAAAAAAAAAAGGGAUUUCUUCCAUACAAAAGCAAUGAGAUGUUUUAGCACUAUAUUAUGAGGCAUAAAUUUUCUCGAUGAUAUUUGUGAAUAAUUAAUAUGACAGGAAGAAUUAUUUUUUAUUUCUACUGAUAUUUUAAUAUCUACCGUCACUUUUAGCAUUACUUAGAUUUGGAGUAUCUGAAUCAUAAUUUGUAAAUUAAUUUGCACUUUGAGUAAACUUGAAAAUGUGAAAAAAGCAAUUAAAAAAAUGGAAAUAUAUUAUCAUCUUGAUUAACAUCUAAAACAAUUUUUGUUAUUGAAGGAAGUGAAUUGUUAUAUACCUUGAAUUGUAGUUAUCCCACAAUAAUGAAGAUCCAAUGCUUUCAAGUUUGGCAAAUCUGCCAAUCCUACAUGCGUCGAUAAAAAAUGAAAAUAUUACAUUUAAAGGCAUUGUAUGUGAUCUGCGCGUUUGAAGAAUAUUAAUUCUUAAUUUGCUUCUUAUCUCAGAUUCAGUCGCUUACCUAGCGUUGUCAAAUUUCGAUUAUAUCCUAAAUCCAACACUCGCAAGUUUGUUAAAUUUGCUAAUCCUGUUCAAAGAACAUAAAUUUGUUAAAGAGCCACUACAAUCUACUGAAACAAAAAAUAGAAAGAAUGACUUCCUAAUUUUCUAAAAGUAGAUAAUUUAGUCAGAACCCCUAUAAUCUAUAAAAAAAAAUAAUAAUCAAAUCUCUGUUAAAUUAUACCUAGAAAUUAAUUUGUAUUAUUCUCAUAUAUUUUGAUGUUGACUUCUAAGUCAUUUCAAAUAGUCUAAAAGAGAGUCCAGCACUUCUUGUUCGUCAUAAAUAUUGCCUACUGCGUAUUGAGUACGCGUUCAUUGGACAUUAUAUCGGUUCUCUAAUUUUUUAGUUGUUUUCAUAAAUAAUAAAUGGUCUAAAAUACACUUAAUUCAUUUAUCUUGAAAAUUUAUAUUACCUCUCGUAACUAUUACCAAUACAAAUAAAGAAGUCACUUUUUAAAGGUAUUAUUAAUUAAAGGGGAAAAAAACCGGUCUUCAUAAUUUUGUCUUUCAAGUAGCAAGUUUGACCGACAAACAAGUCGCUAGAAAUUGGGGGUAUAUAUCAUUAAUGUAAGCAUUCGAAAUUAUCACGUUUCAAUGAAAAAUAACUGUCCACGUUUAUUUUAAAAUUUUACCUUGGCUUGCUAAAGAACCGUUUAAAUUAUUUCCACUCAAAUCCAAUGCUUCCAAGCUUUUCAAUUUAGCCAAUCCUGCACCAAGAAAGAAGAAACCAUGUUAAGGAUGCAGCAUUUUUUAAAUAGUUAAACUAUUUACGAAAAUUCAAAUAUUACUUGGCCAUGUUACGGAUAAGCUUAUACUAUUUUGACUAAUUGGCUAAUCCUGCUUUAUUUAUUUUGGAAAAAAAUAGAGGCAUAGAAGAAUUUAUUUAUUUAUUUUGGAAAAAAAAUAGAGGAAUAGAAGAAUUAAGUCAGUAAAUUUUUAAAAAAGUUUACAAUCUUUGGGUUGUUAUAUACAUUUAUCAAUAAUACUUUAAAAAGGAAGUGAGUUGGUAUAUACCUUGAAUUGUAGUUAUCCCACAAUAACGAAGAUCCAAUGCUUUCAAGUUUGGCAAAUCUGCCAAUCCUACAUGCGCUGAUAAAAAAUGAAAAUAUUACAUUUAAAAGCAUUGUAUGUGAUCUGUACAUUUGAUGAACAUUAAUUCUUAAUUUGCUUCUUAUCUCAGACUCAGUGGCCUACCUAGCGUUGUCAAAUUUUGGUUACCGCUUAAAUCCAACACUUGCAGGUUUGUCAAAUUUACUAAUCCUGUUAAAAAAAACAUAAAUUUUGUCAAUAAUAGUUAUGUUACUCUCAUCUAAAUUGUUUAAUUAAAAUAAUAUGAUAAAUAUUGAAUGAAAAUUAACUGUGCAAAUUGUUUAAUUAAAAAAAACUACCUUCUAAAGAACCGUGUAAAUAAUAAUUAUAACUCAGAUCCAACGCUUCCAAGUUUUUUAAUUUAGCUAAUCCUGCACCAAGAAAGAAGAAAAUUUUUAUUAAUCAUCUUUGGAAAAAAAAAGAAUUAAGAUUAAGAAAUAAAUUUCAAAGUUAGAUUAACUAAUUGUAGUAAUAAAGCUUAUGAUGAUUAAGAUCUAAUUAAAUUGAUCAUAUACUCAAAAAUGAUUUUAUUUUUUUUAAAUUUUACUAAGAAAUUAGAAAGUAAAUUUUUGUCGUGUACCAAUUGUAGUCAAGUUUGUCAAGUUUUCCUGUCAAAAAUUGGUUUUAAUUUGACAUUAUACAGGUGUAAAAAUUAAGGCCAUAAAAAUAUCACAAGGAAUUUGGAUAGUGAAUUGUUGCUGUAUACCUUGAAGUGUAGUUAUUCCACAACCACCAAGAUCCAAUUCUUUCAGGUUUGUCAAAUUUGCCAAUCCUACACCAACGAAAAGCAAAAUAUUACUAUUAAAAUUAUUGUAGAAGGUUGUGAUUAAUGUGCUAACUUGAUAAUUAUCUCAGUAGCCUACCUAGCCUUGUUAAAGAGCCGCUAGUUAUAUUGAAGUUCCAGCUUAGAUCCAACACUUGCAAGUAUCUCAAAUUUGCUAAUCCUGCUCAGAAAACAUUAAUUUUGAUCAAGACAAUAUAAAUAUAUAUUUUAAUUAAGAAAUUAAUUAAGUUGCCUGACAUGUAUAUCUGCUGGCCUGAAACGUAUAUGUAUACCUUGCUUGGUUCUGGAACCUUCAAUCUUAUUGUAACGAAGAUUCAGAGUGGUAAGUGAAGUUAGUGUAUUCAAAUAUGGUAAUAUGCUGUCGUUGAAGAAAUUAAAACCAAGAUUUAAGAUCUUUAGCUGCUUCAAACUCCCAAAGCUAUCGUAAGCUGCAAAUGCAUAUGAAGUGUUAUUUUUAAUUAGUCACUGACAAAAUAUUUAUGGACGAGAAAUAAAUGUAUACAUAUAUACGGACCUCUAUUCUCAUAGAUGCCUGUAAACCAAUUCUCAGACAAGUCAAGGCUUUCCAAUUCUUCAAAAGGAUGAAACAAUGACAUAUUGAUCAGAAGCGAAGUUCCAUCAUAAUAAUUCAAUCUCUUUGUAUUAUUGAGUGAGAGUUGCAUCACCCGUCGUGUGGUGGCGUUGCACUUAACUCCCUCCCAAUCAUCACAACAAUCAGACGGCAUUCCAUAAUCCUCACCAACCCAUGAAGGAAGAAUUUGGUCAUCAUAUCCAAUAUCACUGACUGAUAUGAAGAAGCUCUUGAUUUCCAACAGAGCAGUCCUCUCUGUUUCCAAGCAUCCUUUGUAUCCAUGCAUUUCAUUCAUCAAUACAAUAAUCCAAAUUAGUGACAUUAAUGAGAACUUAAUACAGGAAGUACUUUCCAUUGCAGAGCAACUUUUCAUUUGGUUAAAAUUCAAUGUGCAAUGAGGGAAAAUCAAUAUUAAUUUAUACUAAAAGUUUAUAGUAGGCCUCGCAAUUUGAUUGGCUGAGGAUUACUCAACCACUCUGUUCAAUAUCUUAAGUGGCCAAUACAUCGCCAUCUUUGAAGACUUGUAAGCAUUCCAUGUUUUGCAACGUUCAACCAACGGGAAAAAGCACUUCAUUAAUACCCCGUGGAAAAUAUAGAUAAAGUGAUUGUAAACUAUAAAAUUUUCCAAUAGUUUGAUGGAGAUAAUCAUAACUAAUAAAAUAAAAGUUGACUGAGAGAAUUUAAAUAAUUUAACUGUGUGUUUGGAUUUCCAUUGCAUUAUCAGUCAAUCUAUUAAAUAAUGUGUUUUGAGAAGAAUUUGAUUGGAUGUUUGAUAAGUUUAAAUUAAUUUAUUAGAAAAUCAAUAAUUAAUCAACGUAAAUUUUCAUGCAUGUUUAGUUUAAUUACUCAUAAAAUUGGGGCCUAAUCCGAAAUGACAAAACACAUAAAUGUUAUUUGAAGCUCUUGUGACCUGUUGUGUUCAUGCAUUUGAAUCAAAGCUCUACUAAAAUCAAAGCUAUUGAGAAUCCUUAACGAGGAAAGCUUCCAUUGGUCACAAUUUGCAGCUAAUUUCAUAUGAACGUGAAAUGACAAAAACAGAAAUUUCAUAUGAACUUGGGACAGAUGUAUGGGAUUCAAUUUAAAUGACCCUAUCUAAUUUUCCAUAUAUUAUUACAACCACGUGGGAAAUUAAAGUUGACUGACUUUUCCAAUUAAGCCAACAAACAAGUGGCCAUCAAUUCUUUUUCCACUAACAAUUAGUGGCGACGGUCAAUACUAUAAAAUAAAAGUUGACUAAGAAUUUAUGUAAUUGAAGAGUAUGAUUGGGCUUUUAUUGAAUUGUAUGAUUGGGUUUGCACUGAGUUAUCAAAACAUGUAUUCAAGGAUUGAUAUUCUAAAAUAUUUAGUGAGUUUCGAAAAUUAUUUUAUUAGAUUUUUGAAAAAAUCUAAAAGCUCAAUUUAUACAAAAACGAAAUUUUUUUGAAAAAAUGUUACAAUUAUUAUAAUUGGAAAAUUGAUUGAUCUUUAAAGAUUGAUUCAAUCAAUCCUGAUGUUGCUGGACAAUCGAUCUUAAUAUUGAUAGUCAAUCUUUACAGUGAUUGGUACACGUUAAGAUAAUGGGUUUUGGCCUCUAUAAUGACUAAGAAAGACUUGUAAGACCUGGACCAAUGAGGAAACACGCUUCAUUAGUACUCCAUGGAAAAUAAAUGUUGAUUGACUUUCGAAUUAAGCCAGCAUACAAACGGUCGUUAAUUCUACUUUUUCCAACGGGUGAAGGGGAUAGUCAACUAAUAAAAUAAAAGUUGAUUGAGGUAAUUUAAAGAAGGGAAAAGGACAAUAGAAAAGGACAUAAUAUCCCUCAACAUUUAAAAAAAAAGAUAUAUAACUCAUUUUUAUUAUUAAAUUCUAUUUGUUUUAAUAGUAAAUUUAUUUUUAAUUUACAAUUAUUAUUAUUAUUAUUAUUAUUAUUAUUAUUAUUAUUAUUAUUAUUAUUAUUAUUAUUAUUAUUAUUAUUAUAUCCUUAUAAUAAAUAAUUCAAUAUGUUGACUUAAGAAAUGUCAUUGAUAACGUGUAUAAUGAAAUCAACAACUUUUUAUUUAAAACUUAAAAUUGAGUUGUAAUUAUCUUUUAUUCAAAUUAUUCAUUAUAAAUUAUUAAUAUACCCUUUCCAAUGAUAGGAUGAUAAAAAAUGAAGAAUAAUAGGUAAAAUUAAAAUCAAAUUUAUCAUUGGGAAGGGUAUGUUCGUAAUUUAGAGUGAAUAAUUUGGGCAAAAAGUAAUUACAUCUUAAUACUUAAGUUUUAAAUAAAAAAAUAUUAAUUUCAUUAUACCUAUGAUAUGUUUUAAGUCAAUAUAUUAAAUUAUUUAUUAUAGGGAUAUAAUAGUAAUUAUAAAUUAAAAAUAAUUUUACUAUUAAAACAAAUGAAAUUUAAUAAAAAAAAGGAUUAUAAGUCUUUUUUGAAACGUUAAGGAGUUUUAUGUCUUUUUUUCCAAAUGUUAGGGGUCUCACUGUUCUUUCCCCUUUAACAAAUUUAAGAGUAAGUUUUGAGUUCAAAUUAUCAAAUAGUUUUUUCCACUAUUGAUUCUUCAAUAAGUGCUAUAUAAUUAAUAAUUCGAUAGGAUGUUUGAUAUAUUGAAAUUUGUGAAAAUCAAUAAUCAACUAAUUUUCAUACAUGUUUAGACAUUUUAGUAAAUUACUCAUAAAAUUACGAUUUACAACGAAAUAAUAACACAAAAGCGAUAUCUUAAGCUUGAAUUGAAUCCCUUUGUAUGCUUGCGUUAAUUUGAAUCAAAGCUCGAAUUAAAUUCAAAAACCGAUAUUGAAAAUUUAUAUAAAUGACUUAAAAGAGUAUGAUUGGGUUUACACUGAUUUACAUAUCAAAUACGUAAUAUCAAAUAAGUAAUACGUUCAAGCAUUGAUAUUAUCAGAAAAAAAGGGGGACAAUCCAUGUUUGUGUCAAUUGAUCUUAUUAAUUGGCAAUGAAUCUUAGUAGCGAGUGACAAAAAUUGGAACAAUCACUCUCGGCGAUUAAUAGUGUUUGUCCUCAUCUUUGUUUUGAUCCUUGUCACGGAGAAUCCGUGGCGUGUAGGAGAGGGUUCAUCGCUUGUGGAAUUUUCGUGGCCAUUCAAGAAUCGGGAUGGUUGUUGCAGAAUUCCACAGGGGUUGGCCCGCUGACCCGGUCUACGCAAUACAUGCUCUCGUGUCCUUUGAGAAAGCUCAUGAUUUACGAGGCAGAUCAUCAUGUCCUUUUUUUUUUUAAAGAACGAUCAUCAUGUACUUAUUAUCGGGUUUAAGUUUUUAUGAAUCUGAUGUCUUUCUACUGAUUUUAUUCACAUCCCCAUGAUGAUUUUCUAUAAGCAAUUAUGCUAGUUUUUUUAUGAAAUAAUGCUAACUGAUAUGAGCUUCUUUGCUUGUGUCCAUCGGAGAUGAAUUCAUACAGAGCAUUGUUAUUUAUAUUUUUCUACAAGCUGUUCUGCUGGUUAUUUAUGAAUUAAUCCGUGGAUGAUUGAACUGUAAUUAAGUUCCCCUUGGUCGACGAAUUAAGUUAAAUUAAUUUAUAAAUUAGAAUCAUAGUGGUUUAUUUUAAAAAAGAAAAAGGAAAAAAAAUAAAAAAAUAAAAGACGACAACAACAACACAUUUUAAAUACUGUAACAAUCUUGGGGUUUUGGGCAUGAAUGCCUCGCCACUUUCAUUACAACUCGACGCAAUUGGACAUGGUAUCUAGACAGGCCCAAAGUUAACACAAACUUGGAUUUUAUCUUUUUCGCGUUGGGCCCAUCAGAACACUGGGCUGGAUUUCCCCUUGUUGUAGUAAAUCGCGUUGCAUUUCGCCUGGAUUUCAGUGGAGAAGCAGCAAAAUGUUGCCGGUCCAGAGAAUUCCAGUAUUGACACGGUCUCGUCAACAGACUGCAAGCUCGGAGGGGGAAACUCUUGAUCGAACAUUAAUGAUGUAAUAAAGACCUCUUUAGUACUCACUUUUACAACUUUAAAAAAUUAUUUCUUACAUCAUUAAUGUUAUAAAAUUGUUGUUGUAAUGAUCAUAAUAAUUUUAAUAUUAAUAAUUUACAAACUGCAUUAAUGUAAGCUCUCACUUAACAGAAGGUUAGCAAUAAUUCAAGUGAUUAUCUAGUGAUUGUCAAGUUGCUCAGAUACGAAGGAAGUUGACCUUCAAAAUUAUUACUAAUGAGAUCCAAUUCAAUAAGAUUCUUCAAUUCAUAUAUUCCUGCGGAAAUAAAAGCGUCAAAAUUCAUGAUAAGAAGAAAAUGUACUUUUUAGUUUUCUUAUUGUUACCUGUUCAUUUUAAAUUGGUUCUCUCUAAUAUAUAAUUCCAUUGGAAAUUAUUAUGUAUACAGAGAAAUUCUUUUCAUAAGUAAUAAAUUGUCUACAAAUCAUGACAAUGCACUUAACCUAUCUUAAAAUUAAAAUUAUCAUGUUUUUAUUGGAAAAAUAACUGCUAAUUGUUUCUAAAGUUUACCUUCGCCUUCCAAAGAACCUUUUAUAUUAUUAAAGCUCAAAUCCAAUGCUUCCAAUUGUUUCACUUAAGGGAAUCCUGCACCGAGAGAAGAAAUAAUGCUACAAGAUGCCGAAUUUCUUAAAUAGGUAGGCAGCAUCACGAAAAUUCAACUAUAUACCUGGCCAUGUUACCAAUACGCUUGUACUAUUUCUUCUUAGAACUAUAGACACUUGGCUAAUAUGGAAUUUAACUGGUGGAGUGAAUGGUCGUUUGCACGUCACUGAUGUCUCUAAUGCAUCACGAACGAUGCUCAUGAAUCUGAAAACUCUUGAUUGGGAUAAGCCUACACUAGAAACACUAGGGAUACCGGCCGAAAUUCUGCCCAAAAUUGUUAGUAAUUCUGAGAUUAUUGGAAAAAUUGGCAAAGGGUGGCCAAUUACUGGAAUACCAAAUUCAGGAUGUCUUGGUAACCAACACGCGGCUAUGUUAGGACAAGCUUGUAAAAAAGGUGAGGCUAAAAGCACCUACGGUACUGGUGCUUUUGUACUUCUGAACACAGGCGAAGAGGUAGUUAAGUCAAAGCAUGGACUUUUGAGCACUUUAGCCUUUAAGAUUGGUCCUAAAGCACCGACAAACUACGCUCUGGAGGGUUCAAUUGACAUCGAUGGAGCUGCAGUUCAGUGGCUCAGAGACAGUCUUGGCAUAAUCAGCAGUGCAAGUAAGAUCGAGGAAUUGGCAUUGCAGGUCAACUCAACUGGUGGGGUUUACUUUGUACCUGCUUUUAAUGGAUCGUUCUGCUGUUUCUUUUUUCCUGAAGUAUCCUGUUUUUGGUAUUGUUUCUUCUUAUUGGUUAUAGUUUUGCAGCUAUCAACGCAAAUUUAGCUACUCUGCUUUCUUUUGAAAAAUAUUAUGAUUUCCCAUUUUUGAGCUUCUUGUCUUUGAAUGCAGGUCAGUUGGUCUUUCUAGGGCUCUAGAAAUGUUUAUUUGACACUUCUGCAAGAUUUGUGUGGUACAUUCUUAAGAGAUGUUUUCCAAAUAAACUUUUAGCUGGCUGCUUGCUGAUCAGAAGCAAAAGCAAUGUUUAGAUUCAAAUGCUUUCAAAGGGUCUUACUUUGGGUUGGAAAAAAGAAAGAAAAAGAAAAAAAAGGAAAGUUUAUGUUUCAUGCUGUUUCUGCAUUAAAAUUUCACAACUGUUUCCCGACAUUUUAUGUUGAUUUGUAAAAUAGCCUGGCAGUUCUCCUUUUUUCUACAAUUUCCUUCUUGUACUCUGUGCGUCUCAAUUAGCAAUCACUUAAUUAGCAAUUAGCUCUAUGGAAAUAAUGGUCAUUUUGAAGAAUCUGAGCUUUAUUCAGACAUCACACUCUUUUCCAUUUUCUGGAAUCUAGUGUUGAUACUUUAUUAUCUUUCCGCCCUGGAAGGCCAUAUAAAACUGUUCUUAUCAUGAUUUACAGGCGGACUUGUUGGGAAGCCCAGUCAUCAGACCAGCUGACAUAGAGACAACGGCUCUUGGAGCUGCCUUUGCAGCUGGAUUAGCAAUUGGGGUUUUCAAAGAAGAAGAGAUUUUUGAUUCUGGAGAAAGGACUAAGACUUCAACCACUUUCAAGCCUGUCUUAAACGAGGAAUUCAGGAAGAAGAAGGCAGAAUCCUGGUGCAGAGCUGUUGAAAGAACUUUCAACUUGGCCGAUCUCUCUCUUUGAAUGAUGUCUCUGUGGUUUUCAUCAACCAUCCGUUGUUUUCCCUUUUCUCCUUUUCCUUAUCAGUCUUUACAUCUUUCAUGGUUUUUUUUUUUUUUUUCUUUGUGUAGAUUCUUGUGAAUUGCAGACAUAAGUUAUAAUUGUAUUUCAGGUGAAUAACGUUAUAAUUAAUAAAUGCUUUCUUCUCCUAAUUGCUUUUGUAUAGAUAAAAAUUGGUGCUUUUGUUGGUCUCCUCAUGCUCUAAGCUGAUUUAUUUGAUAGGUAAUUUAAUUCUUCUGCAAUUUGAUUAGAAGGAUCUCUCGAAUUCUGAUAAAUUGUAAAGCACUUGCAAGGCUUAAAAGCUAUGGGAAGUUGUUCAUUUGAAUCACGAGAAAAUCAGACGAAAGGUAAGUAGAAACCUUGAAUCUAGUUUCUGAAAAAACAUAUACCAGAUUGCAGAAAAGCCAAUAGAAUACGUAGUACUAGAAAACAAGUGGCACAUCCUUAUUCUUUCUAUUAUAAUCGUGCUCUACGAUCACCAAUAGAUUACAUAUUUGAAAAGCCAAUAGUAACAUAAGCCAAUACAUUCUUCAAUGAAAUAAAACCAUAGUCUGCGCCAAUAUGGGUUUACCCAAAGGAUCGCGAGUAACCCCAACAUCACUGUGACGCAGGACGCAACAAAACUCCAAUAGAAUGCCACCAUAUCAACCGCACAUUCAUCUUCUGCUCCUUUGGAUGAUGGUUCUAGCAACUCUGGGAGAUUCGUGCAGCUCUUGUUAAUUGCUGGACCGCAAAGAUGGAGAUUUCCUCUAUAGCUGCUUUCAUCAAAUGUGGAAAAUUGCUCUUUGUCUGGGAUUGGGCCGGACAAAUUGUUGUAUGACACAUUGAAUUUAGAUAAACUGUGAAGUUCGGUCAAUUGAGGAGGAAUUUGACCAUUUAAUUUGUUGUGGGAAAGGUCUAGACUCUCUAUCAUUUUCAGAUUGGAAAAGCUCUCAGGUAUAGAGCGCGACAAGAAAUUAUGAGAUAAAUUCAAUCCAUGAAUAUUUUGAAGGUCACCAAUUUCUGAUGGAAUGUCACCUGUUAACUCGUUGUUCGACAAAUCUAGUCCUGCCAUUAACUCAAGAAUGUCACCCUUGUAAGAUUCAUAUCUGUUCUUUGUCAUAAAAUUCACCUC